AUUGAACGCUGGCGGCAGGCCUAACACAUGCAAGUCGAACGAGUGGCGGACGGGUGAGUAAUGUCUGGGAAACUGCCUGAUGGAGGGGGAUAACUCCUGGAGACGGUAUCUAAUACCGCAUACCAUCAGAUGUGCGCCGAUGGGAUUAGCUAGUAGGUGGGGGAACGGCUCACCUAGGCGACGAUUCCUAGCUGGUCUGAGAGGAUGACCAGCCACACUGGAACUGAGACACGGUCCAGACUCCUACGGGAGGCAGCAGUGGGGAAUAUUGCACAAUGGGCGCAAGCCUGAUGCAGCCAUGCCGCGUGUAUGAAGAAGGCCUUCGGGUUGUAAAGUACUUUCAGCGGGGAGGCGUUACCCGCAGAAGAAGCACCGGCUAACUCCGUGCCAGCAGCCGCGGUAAUAC
RNAcentral lists this ribosomal RNA (406 nucleotides) under uncultured bacterium. RNAcentral's name for it is "partial 16S ribosomal RNA". It matches the Rfam family "Bacterial small subunit ribosomal RNA", at positions 30 to 526 of the family's 1533-position model. The record is from RNAcentral.